CGUGUGCUUACAAGUAGUCAGAGCCCGUUAAUGGGUGAUGGCGUGCCUUUUGUAGAAUGAACCGGCGAGUUACGAUUUGAUGCAAGGUUAAGCAGUAAAUGUGGAGCCGUAGCGAAAGCGAGUCUGAAUAGGGCGUUUAGUAUUUGGUCGUAGACCCGAAACCAGGUGAUCUACCCUUGGUCAGGUUGAAGUUCAGGUAACACUGAAUGGAGGACCGAACCGACUUACGUUGAAAAGUGAGCGGAUGAACUGAGGGUAGCGGAGAAAUUCCAAUCGAACCUGGAGAUAGCUGGUUCUCUCCGAAAUAGCUUUAGGGCUAGCCUCAAGUGAUGAUUAUUGGAGGUAGAGCACUGUUUGGACGAGGGGCCCCUCUCGGGUUACCGAAUUCAGACAAACUCCGAAUGCCAAUUAAUUUAACUUGGGAGUCAGAACAUGGGUGAUAAGGUCCGUGUUCGAAAGGGAAACAGCCCAGACCACCAGCUAAGGUCCCAAAAUAUAUGUUAAGUGGAAAAGGAUGUGGCGUUGCCCAGACAACUAGGAUGUUGGCUUAGAAGCAGCCAUCAUUUAAAGAGUGCGUAAUAGCUCACUAGUCGAGUGACACUGCGCCGAAAAUGUACCGGGGCUAAACAUAUUACCGAAGCUGUGGAUUGUCCUUUGGACAAUGGUAGGAGAGCGUUCUAAGGGCGUUGAAGCAUGAUCGUAAGGACAUGUGGAGCGCUUAGAAGUGAGAAUGCCGGUGUGAGUAGCGAA
This 750-nucleotide ribosomal RNA is filed under the name Staphylococcus aureus. RNAcentral's name for it is "partial 23S ribosomal RNA". It matches the Rfam family "Bacterial large subunit ribosomal RNA", at positions 557 to 1313 of the family's 2925-position model. Lineage: Bacteria; Bacillati; Bacillota; Bacilli; Caryophanales; Staphylococcaceae. The record is from RNAcentral.